AUGAACGCUGGCGGCGUGCCUAAUACAUGCAAGUCGAGCGAACAGACGAGGAGCUUGCUCCUCUGACGUUAGCGGCGGACGGGUGAGUAACACGUGGAUAACCUACCUAUAAGACUGGGAUAACUUCGGGAAACCGGAGCUAAUACCGGAUAAUAUAUUUAACCGCAUGGUUCAAUAGUGAAAGACGGUUUUGCUGUCACUUAUAGCUGGAUCCGCGCCGCAUUAGCUAGUUGGUAAGGUAACGGCUUACCAAGGCAACGAUGCGUAGCCGACCUGAGAGGGUGAUCGGCCAAACUGGAACUGAGACACGGGCCAGACUCCUACGGGAGGCAGCAGUAGGGAAUCUUCCGCAAUGGGCGAAAGCUUGACGGAGCAACGCCGCGUGAGUGAUGAAGGUCUUCGGAUCGUAAAACUCUGUUAUUAGGGAAGAACAAAUGUGUAAGUAACUAUGCACGUCUUGACGGUACCUAAUCAGAAAGCCACGGCUAACUACGUG
RNAcentral lists this ribosomal RNA (496 nucleotides) under uncultured bacterium. RNAcentral describes it as "partial 16S ribosomal RNA". It matches the Rfam family "Bacterial small subunit ribosomal RNA", at positions 29 to 507 of the family's 1533-position model. The record is from RNAcentral.